CCUCAUGCCUUUGAAAACAUUCACUGUUGCUUCUCUUUUUAUUGGCAGUGCUGCUUCUGCUUCUGUUUUCAUUCUUCAUGCUAAUGGCAUUCAUGGGGUGGAUGAUUUCAUUGAAGCUGGUGCCAAUUUAAGAGCUAAACUUGGGUUACGUCCACGCACACCGAAUAAGAAUAUGGAUGAAUCAUAACCAAAUCCUCAUUCACAUCUUGUGAUAUUACUUGGUGGUGUGGUUCCUAGUUGGAGAAGCAGUCAUAACAUUUUGUGGCAUGGUUCCUUGAAAGGUUGAAGGUUUGAUGUGCAAUUCAACAAUUACAUGCUUAUUAGAAACACUACAUCCAAUUGAUAGGAUUUUCUAUUUUUUGCCCUCUGGUUGUGUAGCUAACAAUUUUGAGUAUGCAACUUGGAAUACAUUGUCAUCAAUAAUUUGUAUUUCACUGAUUUUAGUCAGCCGGCACUUUUUGACGGCACUUUUUGACACAGUUGUAGCAUCAGGAAG
Long non-coding RNA from Medicago truncatula (barrel medic), 496 nucleotides. RefSeq lists it as uncharacterized. The transcript is spliced from 3 exons. The record is from RefSeq and is a predicted model, not a curated record. NCBI's taxonomy places the organism in Eukaryota, Viridiplantae, Streptophyta, Magnoliopsida, Fabales, Fabaceae.